This 1781-nucleotide unclassified non-coding RNA is filed under the name Stegodyphus dumicola. RNAcentral describes it as "transmembrane 9 superfamily member 4-like, transcript variant X2". Lineage: Eukaryota; Metazoa; Arthropoda; Arachnida; Araneae; Eresidae. The record is from RNAcentral.
GGAAAUUGAAUUAGCAUCGUUUUCUGGCAACGCAAUUUCAACGGGAUAUGCAACGGGUUACAAGUGCGGUUUAAAUUUCCUUUUUUUAAUUUUUAGUGUAAAAUUUUGCUUUCACCGUGCUCUCUCCUUUAGGAUCUGUAUUUGUGCAUCUGGAAUGCAUUAUAAUGUUAAUUUUUCAAUUUUUGUAUCUUUAUUUGGAUCAUUUAUUACAUCCACAUAUGGCUUUUAUGUACCAGGUGUCGCCCCUGUUGAAUUUAAAAAAGGUGAAAGCAUUGAAGUUAAAGCUGUAAAAAUGACUAGUACUUUAACUCAGCUUCCUUAUGAAUAUUAUUCUCUUCCAUUUUGUCGUCCUAAAAAUGGUUCCAUUGUUUAUAAAUCAGAAAAUUUGGGUGAAGUUUUACGAGGUGAUCGAAUUGUCAAUACUCCUUAUGAAGUUCACAUGGCUGUAGAUCAGCCAUGUAGAGUAUUAUGUAAUAAUCCUAAGACUCCUCUUAACUGGUCUGUUGCUGAAUCUAAACUGGUAGCUAAUCGUAUUCAGCAUCAGUACUAUGUUCAUCUAUUGAUUGAUAAUCUGCCCUGUGCUACAAGAUUUGAAAUGUCUGAGAAUCAACCACAGUAUGAGCAUGGAUAUAGAUUAGGCUUUGUGGAAAAGGGAAUUCCGUACAUUAAUAAUCAUUUGAAAAUUAUACUGAAGUAUCAUACACAACCUGGGGAGAAUUACAGAGUUGUUGGAUUUGAAGUUGAGACCCGAAGCAUUGAUCUGUUGAGUUUGGAAUUUUCUGGAAAUACAUGUAGUUAUCCAGAAUUACAUAAAAGGCAGGCUGUCAAUGUUCAAGGGCCUACUAAACUAUUGUUUACUUAUGAAGUGAGUUGGGAAGAAAGUAACAUCCGUUGGGCAUCAAGGUGGGAUAUAUAUCUUGCUAUGACAGAUGUCCAGAUUCAUUGGUUUUCUACAAUUAAUUCAGUGGUUGUGGUCUUUUUCUUGUCAGGUAUUUUGACUAUGAUUAUCAUUAGAACUCUUCGAAGAGAUAUAGCAAGAUAUAAUAAAGAUGAAGAUAUGGAAGAUACUAUAGAAGAAACUGGGUGGAAACUUGUUCAUGGCGAUGUUUUCAGACCACCUAGAUAUCCUAAAUUGUUUGCUGCAGUUAUUGGCAGUGGAAUUCAGAUAUUUCUAAUGACAUUCAUUACAAUUUUUUUUGCAAUGCUUGGAAUGCUCUCUCCUGCUUCUAGAGGAGCUCUUAUGACUGCUGCCAUUUUCUUAUAUGUGUUUAUGGGGUGUGUUUCUGGCUAUUUUUCAGCUAGACUAUAUAAAACCUUAAGGGGAAUGCAAUGGAAAAAAGCUGCACUCUAUACUGCUACUCUUUACCCGGGUGUGGUGUUUGGAACAUGCUUCUUCUUGAAUUUCUUUAUUUGGGGAAAACAGUCAUCUGGAGCAGUUCCUUUUACGACAAUGUUAGCUCUACUAUGUAUGUGGUUUGGUAUUUCUUUGCCAUUAGUGUUCAUUGGUUAUUAUUUUGGGAUUAGAAAACAUCCUUAUGAACAUCCUGUGCGCACAAACCAAAUUCCUCGUCAGGUUCCAGAGCAAGUCUGGUAUAUGAAUCCAGUUCUUUGGAUUAUCAUUGGUGGUGGAGGUCUGUAAUAGUGUCUGGCGGAUCUGCUGUAUAUGUUUUUGCAUACUCUGUUUUCUAUUUUCUUACAAAGCUGGAAAUCACAGAGUUCAUUCCUACACUUUUGUAUUUUGGUUACACUGGUUUGAUGGUACUCACAUUUUGGAUUUUGAC